GGCCUUAUUACAUUUAAAAACCCAAACCUCAACGUAAAUAAUAGGAUGUCCAAUUCACCAGAAGAAAACCAAACUUUCAGAACGGGUGGCCACUCCGAAUUCCCUCACAGCUCCAAGCCCACUAUGGUUGGGGAUUUCUUGCGUGGAUGAAAAUAAAAGGGGUGAGUUUGGGGAAACUCAGUGUGUAAGGAAAACUCAUUCAAAGCCCAAGUCAGCUCAAGCCUAUUGGGCCUAAGCCCAUU
RNAcentral lists this long non-coding RNA (242 nucleotides) under Gossypium barbadense (sea-island cotton). RNAcentral describes it as "long non-coding RNA (GBAR_LNC008903)". The record is from RNAcentral. Lineage: Eukaryota; Viridiplantae; Streptophyta; Magnoliopsida; Malvales; Malvaceae.